Molecule: small RNA, 28 nt
Filed under: Bombyx mori (domestic silkworm)
Lineage: Eukaryota; Metazoa; Arthropoda; Insecta; Lepidoptera; Bombycidae
Description: ovarian small RNA-23553
Source: RNAcentral
UAUCAUGGUGUACUUUCCGGGUUUCCGU